RNAcentral lists this long non-coding RNA (2410 nucleotides) under Homo sapiens (human). RNAcentral describes it as "HSALNT0377728". The record is from RNAcentral. Lineage: Eukaryota; Metazoa; Chordata; Mammalia; Primates; Hominidae.
CAACCUCACAAAAUAGUUAUGGGGAUAAAAUUCUAUAAUUCUUUUAAAACCCUGAAAGAUUUUUUAAAUUUAAGAUAUAGUAGCAGUUAACCAGUAAGAAAUCUAAAUCCUACUUUGUCGGGUUGUCAUGAGAAACAAUUAAGGCAAUUUAUGUGAAGUUUAUUAGCUGGUUUGCUGCAAGAUAUAGUAUAUCUAUAAAUAACUGUUCAAUAAAUAUUUGCAGUAUCUGUAAUGGAUCAGUAGUAAUGGAUAAGAGUAAAAAAAUUUUUGUUUUCUAAAAAAAUUAAAUAUUUGCUUAUAAUUGGAGUUACUUUUUUAUUUUUCAGUUAACAAAAACCAGCAUCACGCUCAAGGUUUUGUGAACUUAUCAGUUCCCUUAUUUCAACUCCUGGUCCUGUUGGAAAAAGUGACAGUUGGGAGGCAGAACUGCGCAUGGUAGCCCAGAGCUCUUACCAUCUGAGCCACGUGCCCAUUCAUUUCUCAUUUCAGAAUACUGCAUUGUGUCACAAGAAUUCAACUAUGUACUCAUGGAGAAGGAGGGAGAAAGCAAGGAAGGAAAAAAGAGAAAAGUAAUUUACAUAGUAACAGCAAUUCUGCUCAACAUUCCAUUCAGUGAGCCGAUACCCUGGAGUGCAGAAACUGUUAUGAAUGUACUCCACCAAGGCAAGAAAGGAAGAAGACAUGGAAUUUAAAAAACAGAGGAUCUACUAUGAAAGAGAAAGGUGAAGGGAAUUCCAGGCUGAUGGUAAAUGCAAAUUCCAGGAUGAGAGUUGGGCAGCAGGCCUAGAGUGCACUCCGUCCUGGGAGGAGCCAGAUGAUAGAGGGCUCUAGGAGAGAAGGCUCCAAGGGAAAAUGAAACAAGAGGAGGAGAAGAAACAGGCUUACGCUGAGCGAAUCCAAUGUGCAGACAGACACACAGGGAAGGUGACCAUUUGAAGACGGAGGCAGAAACUGAAGUUGUGCAACUGCAAACCAAGAAAUGCCAUGGAUUGCCAACAACCACCAGGAACUAGAAGAGGCAAGGUUUGCAAGAGGAAAAUACAAAGGUGACUUCUGGGCCUGCUGGAGGUGGAGGGUAGAGGAUGGACAGCUGACAUCUAGUCACAGAGGAAAGAACACAGAAAGAGAUCUCCAGUUAAAGCUGAUAGAUUGAACCACAGACAACCCACCUCCUUCUAAAAUCCCUCUAGAACAAUGGUUUAAAAAAAGUGCUUUAACAUAAAACUUCAAAAUCAAAAAGAUAAGGAAAAUGAUGAAAACCACUCAGAUAAGAAGAGAGGAUAUUUAUGCAGAGGCUGCUGUCGUUGGGAGUCCGCCACCAUACCACUAUACUUUGGUGAGACUUGAAGGCAGGCAGGGAGUGGAAACACUUUAUGCUGUAGUGAAAAAAGGGGAAGGCUUCGGUAUGCUCUGACUGGAGAUCAUUGUCAUGGGGAAACUGCAGGUGGGCUAACUAGAGGCUGGGCUUCUUGUGUAAUGGUUUGGCUUUCUCUGGUUGGUCCUGUGUUGAAAAUAGGGGCAAAAUAUAGGGAAGCUGACUCAUUGACCAAGCCCUGCCCAGGCUGGCCAAUUGCAGAGGUUGUGGGUCAGAGUUCUAUUGUCAUAUAUGGUCUGGCUACUGUCUGUUUAUAUAAUCCGUCUCUCAGAGAACAGUAGAGGAGAUCAAAUUAUUAACAUUUUGGAAGCUGGAAAGCAGGAGGAUAGUGUGAGCUGAAUUAGCAGACUUGCCAUCUAUCAAAGGGGAUAGCCAAAAGCAAGCCAGAUUUGCCCCAGAGAACCACCAAAGGUUCAAGAAUUGGCAGCACCAGGUACCCCCAGAAGCAGGGAUAAAGUGGGGGCUGAAAUUGGACAGUUGGUUCAAAGUCUAUUUCAGAAGCAUUAGACCACUGGAUUUCUUCCCCAGCUCCCAAAUGACUGCCUGGUGCAAAAGACUCAGGAUUGAUUCCCUGGAGAGGGUAGGUAGUUCUUUGUCUAGUUAAGGAUGGGAUGCCAUAACAAACAUGCCAAUUCAGUGAAAGUACCUACUUUCAAGACUCCUGCUUAACUCCCCUAAAUCAGCAGCCAAUGUUAGAAGCCAAGUGUUAAAGUUUUUCAGAUAAUUUUGCUAUAAGCCUAUGGAGAAAUUUCAUUACCAUCUCAUAGCAAGGCCUAUAGUAUAAGAGCAGGCCUAUAGUAGCAUAUGGGGGAAAGUCUAAAAGACUUUGAAAUGGACCAAAAGAUUAUUGAGAAAUGGAAAACUGCAUUGUUUUAAGUAUCCCUUUCCAACUUAUCAGAUUCUGUGGGGUUUAUACCUUUCAUUGUCUUUGAGGUAUUUAACAAUUCUAAAGAGAUAGACUCUAACUUGUAGAAAACUAAGAGUAACAUAAAUAAUUAUCGUCUUUAGAUAUACAAAUAAAUUCUGUUCUGAGAA